AUUGAACGCUGGCGGCAUGCUUUACACAUGCAAGUCGAACGGCAGCGCAGUCUUCGGCCUGGCGGAGAGUUGCCGACGGGUGGGUGAUUCAUCUGAACGUGCCCAUUUUUUUGUUCUAGCGCGGCGACAGCGGGAUUCAUACCCCAUACGACCUGAGGGUGAAAGCGUGAGACCGAAAGUCCUCGCGCUCUUUCGGCGUUCGAUGUCCGAUUAGCUAGUUGGUGGGGUAAAGGGUUACCAAGGCGACGAUCCGUAGCUGGUCUGAGAGGAAGACUAGCCACACUGGGACUGAGACACGGCCCAGACUCCUACGGGAGGCAGCAGUGGGGAAUAUUGGACAAUGGGGGCAAUCCUGAUCCAGCCAUGCCGCGUGUGUGAAGAAGGCCUUCGGGUUGUAAAACGCUUUUGUUCGGGAAGAAAACCUCUGGGCUAAUACCCCGGUGGGAUGACGGUACCGGAAGAAUAAGCACCGGCUAACUACGUG
Molecule: ribosomal RNA, 484 nt
Filed under: uncultured bacterium
Lineage: Bacteria
Description: partial 16S ribosomal RNA
Rfam family: Bacterial small subunit ribosomal RNA
Source: RNAcentral